AUGGAUUAUGCAGUUUAUUUCUUGUCUGUAAUUUUAGUCUGUGGCCAAGGAUCCUCUGGACAGAUCCUCAUGUCUCAGACCCCCGAAUAUAUGUUGGUGGCAUUGGGUGAUAGUCUGAGCUUUUCAUGUAAGGCCAGCAGCAACACUAACACCAAUGUGGACUGGUAUCAUCAAACAGAAGGGAAUCCUAUAAAGCUCAUUAUCUACAGCGCCAGUAGUCGUCCAGCAGGGAUUUCAGAUCGGAUCACUGGAUCUGGAUCAGGAACUUCAUUCACUCUAACAAUCAGAGACAUGAAAGCGGAAGACAUUGGAAUUUAUCACUGCAUGCAGAGACAAUCGUAUCCACUCACACAGUGA
This is a non-coding RNA of Rana temporaria (common frog), 357 nucleotides long. NCBI's taxonomy places the organism in Eukaryota, Metazoa, Chordata, Amphibia, Anura, Ranidae. The record is from the annotation of a RefSeq genome assembly.